CUUAAUUUUGGUGUGCCUCCCCUUUUCCUUUCUGAUAAUGGCCAUUAAAGGUGUUCUAAUGGAUCUUCCUGCUUGUUUUGAAUUUCUUUUUCCCAUCGUUCUGACAGUGACUUACUAUAUACUCUUGGGUAAGAAGCUGUUGAGAGGAAGCUUCAUAGUGUUUCAUCCUAGACAGAGCUUCUUGAGGAAUCUGGAAACAUUUUAGUCACUAAAAUAUUGUUCCUCACUUGGAAAUAAUUUUUCCAAUGCUUGCCAGCAGCUCCUUGCAAACUUGGACAGCAGAUUUUUUUUCUCUGCAAAAUCAGGACUCAGUUCUUGCAGGAGCAUUGCGCAUGUCCUUGGAAAAGUAUGCACCUGUGCUUCUACGUGGUCCUGCUUUAUCACAACAUUUCAGUUAAAAAAAGUAAUUUUACUUCAUCUGUUAAGAUAAGGAAGAAAUAAAAUGGGGUCUGUGACCAAGGGGACAAAUACGGAAGAGAACACAAUUUUAGGUUGCUUUCUAAACAAGCUCCUUUUUGUUGUUUUGUUGCUUCAGCACCUCAACUACCUUGAAAGCUGGCUAUUAGCUUCUCCAUGCUACCCCAGAAGGGUGCUAAGCAUUCCUAGGGCUAUUUCUUCUCUGCCAGGGCAUCUUUUCGCCUUCCCGAUGCUACAAGAUCUUACUUUCAAAACCCCUCAUAGCACCAUCACCAAUUAGUGUGGUGGAUUGACCUUUUCCUCAUGUAGAAGAAAAAGCUUAAUUUGUAUGUCUUCCUUUCCUCAGCUGUCUUUUCUUGUUAAAAGUUUCUACAAGCAAUGAUAAAAUUUCCUACAUUGUGUAUCUUGAAAAAUAUUGGGGUUUUUAGACAUACUUUAGUUUCAAAGGCAUCAUUAGAAGAUGAAAUAUGAUUCAAGGCACAAUGUCAUAGCUAAGAGGAUAUUUGGGAUAUGAAGCAACUAUGCAGUGUUAGUUAAGUGGGGAUGAAUCAGAGACAUGUUCCACAAGAGAUCUGUGUUCCUUAUUCCACUUGGACAAUGGAAGGUCUAUGGCAUUUAAAGAAAUGGUUUCCAGCAAGCUUAUUUUUGGCAAUCAUAAUCAAGCUUUUUGGCACACUGAUUCUCUUAAUUUCAACUGAAUAAAGCUCCUUUAUGAAAGCAAACAAGGAAAAAAGACAAGUCUGUGUCCAAAGCAGAAAAUAGGUAGAAAUGUGAAAGACUAAGGUGGUGAUUUUUGGGGGAUGGUGGGAAUUACCAUUGUUCAGUAAUGCAGAGCUCGGGCAGUGGGUGGAACACAGCUGUAGAAGCAGAAAAGCAAGAGGUGCAGCAGGAGAGGCAGGAGAAUUUGAAGUAGCAUUUCCCCUUAGAAGAAUCCAAAACCAAGCUUCUUUUGAGCAGAUUGGUCUGAAAAGACAGGCUUGGAAGCAUGCCCAGAUGAACUGUUUCUUGUCUGUUCCUAUUGGGUUCUGGGAAGAAGAAUUCUAUGUACAUACUUUGUGUAAAAAAACAAUUAUAGCAAAGAAAUACCUGGAUCAAAUCAGAGGCUUCACCACAUAAUCAAAACAGUUCAGCAAAUCUCAAACAUUGCCCUUUUACUACUAGAAGGGGAAACAAUAGAAUAAAUAUAUAUGUAGGUUUAGCUUUUCCAU
Long non-coding RNA from Poecile atricapillus (Black-capped chickadee), 1625 nucleotides. RefSeq lists it as uncharacterized. The transcript has 3 exons. The record is from RefSeq and is a predicted model, not a curated record. Lineage: Eukaryota; Metazoa; Chordata; Aves; Passeriformes; Paridae.